UAUCAAUCGUGUUUGUGCACAGUCUGUAUUAAGUUAUGACUGGAUACUGUAUUAAGUUAUGACUGGAUACUAUAUGAAAAUAAACUUUUAAGCACAUAUCUAUUAUAAUCUAGUUAUAGAACAAUAUUUCGUGAUGUAUGUGAUACGAUGGUUCCUUCUCAAAAGUUGUAUAUUUGGAGUGUUCUUUUCAGUCACAGAGGCAAGUGUUUUGCUACACACAUUUGAUGUAGAGACGACUUAUUUCAAAGGCUCUUACGUUACGCUCGUUUGCAUAAUUACUCCCUAUAAUAAUGAGAUGACUUGGUACGUGGACAAUGAACUCUACGCUGGCUGUUUUUUAGGGAACUGUGGUUCUUCUUUAAACAAACCAUAUACAUUUGAUUUCACUUUUGAUGAAACUGCAGAGGUUUUCAAACUCACUAUAGAUUCUGUGGAUUCUUCUCAUGCUGAACUUUUAUUUGCUUGCGACGAUGGAAAUGUGAGAAAAACAAUUUCUUUCAAUGUGACAACAGGUAUUCUUCUUUUAUUAAUGGAUAAAAAAUAAAUAAAUUUCUUGCAUUUAUUCGUAAAAGGAAAUUGUGUAUAACCUAGGAACACCUUUAAAGGAUACAUGUAGGCUGAAUAAAAAAGCGUUUUGCUAACAGUUAAAGCUCCUAAAUGUGUGUAUAUUUUCUCACCAUAAUGCAUGUAAUGUGUCAGGAACAUACACAUAUUAUUAUUAUUUGAUCAAAUAAUAAAAUAGCAUGAUUGUCUAUUUAUUUAAAGGGCUAUUUCUAAUCUUUGCUAUAUUUCUGAAGU
Ruditapes philippinarum (Manila clam) is the source of this 798-nucleotide long non-coding RNA. RefSeq lists it as uncharacterized. The record is from RefSeq and is a predicted model, not a curated record. The transcript has 3 exons. NCBI's taxonomy places the organism in Eukaryota, Metazoa, Mollusca, Bivalvia, Venerida, Veneridae.